UCCAGGGUGGCUCGGACGGUAAAGAACCUGCCUGUAAUCCAGGAGACCCAGGUUCGAUCCCUGGAUCAGGAA
Molecule: transfer RNA, 72 nt
Filed under: Ovis aries (sheep)
Lineage: Eukaryota; Metazoa; Chordata; Mammalia; Artiodactyla; Bovidae
Rfam family: tRNA
About the family: Transfer RNA (tRNA) molecules are approximately 80 nucleotides in length. Their secondary structure includes four short double-helical elements and three loops (D, anti-codon, and T loops).
Source: Rfam by way of RNAcentral